RNAcentral lists this long non-coding RNA (1328 nucleotides) under Malus domestica (apple). RNAcentral describes it as "long non-coding RNA (MDOM_LNC015894)". The record is from RNAcentral. Lineage: Eukaryota; Viridiplantae; Streptophyta; Magnoliopsida; Rosales; Rosaceae.
UAUGAGAAUGUCCCAAAAUUUACACUUUAUGUAUGAUUCUGAGACAAAAAAACUUGAUAUACUAAAUGUUGAAAACCACGAAACAUGAGGGUAGUAAACAGUCUUUUACCCUAAAUACAAUGAAACCCACAAAACAACAAUGGCACAAAUUAAAUCGAGAACUAAAACUACAAAUCCAAAUAACCCUAAUAUCAUAGAAACUAAAUAUUUACCGUUACAAACGCAUAACCCUACUUUGAGCUCACAAGGUUUCACCAAACAAAUAUUUAGACCAAAAUAACCUUAAAACCGAAUCAAAAUUUUGGAAUUCUCGAAUUUCGGAAUUGGCCCUUCAAGCUAGGCCUGACAAACGGGUUGUGUCAGUCGUGUUCGUGUCGUUUUCGUGUAACACCUGUUAUCUUAACGGGUCGUGUCGUGUCACACCCGUUAUCUUAACGAGUCCUUAACAGGUCGUGUCACUUUACCCAACAGGUAAAGUGACCCGACCCAUUAUGACCCGUUAUGACCCGUUAAGAAAAAUAUAUUUUUUUUCUUAAAUUUGCACAUACCACACAUUGACACAUAAAUAUUACUUCAAAACAUUAAAACACAUUUGUCGUUUAAGUACUACAUCUACACUCGAAAAUAAGAGCCUAAUAAAAAAAUAAUACAUACACUACUAAUCUAUUACAAAUUUUAAAUGUGCAAGGAUAUGCAAAAUGAAACAGUUUUUGUUUUCAAGGUUGUGAAAUCUUUCUCAAAAGUUUAAACCUCAAUUUACAAAAUUCUCGAUUUACAUCAAUCAUCAUGAAAUUGCAUUGGAACUUUGGCUUGAUCUAUUGCCUUCAAGAGUUAUGUUGAUGAUGUUUUCAGUAUGGUUUUCCACGUCAUAACUAUCUUCUGCAUAAACUAAGCAUAGAAAAACCAAACAUUAAAAAUCAUUCAAAUUAUGAGAAGUUUACCAAAAUAAUUAUGAAAAAAAAUAAAACAAUAGUACUAUACCAUACUUUUAUUAAGUAUAAACAUAAGAUUUUGUGGUAUCCACUAGUGUAAAUAUUUGAAAUUGAGAUCGAAUUCAAUCAUUGUAUUCAUAUAAGGUCAAGGAGUGUAGUUGUAAAAAAUCAUCAAAAUCGGAGUUAAAUUAACCGUUAAAUCGUGAUUUUUCGUUUAUAACCGUCGAAAAGUUUUGUCCUGUUACGUGCUCUCUGAAUGUUUGUUUUUUGCAAUUUUUGGCGUAUGCGAUCUCGAAAUAUAUACAAACAUGUUUGACAUUUGAUCAUUGAAACUAGUUUCGUAGAAUGAGUAUCCCAUCAAAACAAUAGAUUCACUAAUACUUAAGAGUUUAUUCA